AGGAAUUGGCGGGGGAGCACCGCAACGGGAGGAACGUGCGGUUUAAUUGGAUUCAACACCGGAAAACUCACCAGCAGCGACUAUUACAUGAAAGUCAGGCCGAUGACCUUACUAGAUUUUUAGAGAGGUGGUGCAUGGCCGUCGUCAGUUCGUACCGUAAGGCGUUCUCUUAAGUGAGAUAACGAACGAGACCCUCACCAAUAAUUGCUACUGCGUCGUCCGCGGCGUAGGCACAUUAUUGGGACCGCUGGCGCUAAGUCAGAGGAAGGAGAGGUCAACGGUAGGUCAGUAUGCCCCGAAUCUGCUGGGCUACACGCGCGUUACAAAGGGCGGGACAAUGGGCUCYGACACCGAAAGGUGAAGGUAAUCCCGAAACCCGUCCGUAGUUCGGAUUGAGGGUUGUAACUCACCCUCAUGAAGCUGGAUUCCGUAGUAAUCGCGAAUCAACAACUCGCGGUGAAUAUGCCCCUGCUCCUUGCACACACCGC
This 488-nucleotide ribosomal RNA is filed under the name uncultured euryarchaeote. Its description in RNAcentral is "bacterial SSU rRNA". It matches the Rfam family "Archaeal small subunit ribosomal RNA", at positions 860 to 1348 of the family's 1478-position model. The record is from RNAcentral. Lineage: Archaea; Methanobacteriati; Methanobacteriota.